Molecule: ribosomal RNA, 468 nt
Filed under: uncultured bacterium
Lineage: Bacteria
Description: partial 16S ribosomal RNA
Rfam family: Bacterial small subunit ribosomal RNA
Source: RNAcentral
GACGAACGCUGGCGGCGUGCUUAACACAUGCAAGUCGAACGGAAAGGCCCUGCUUUUGUGGGGUGCUCGAGUGGCGAACGGGUGAGUAACACGUGAGUAACCUGCCCUUGACUUUGGGAUAACUUCAGGAAACUGGGGCUAAUACCGGAUAGGAGCUCCUGCUGCAUGGUGGGGGUUGGAAAGUUUCGGCGGUUGGGGAUGGACUCGCGGCUUAUCAGCUUGUUGGUGGGGUAGUGGCUUACCAAGGCUUUGACGGGUAGCCGGCCUGAGAGGGUGACCGGCCACAUUAGGACUGAGAUACGGCCCAGACUCCUACGGGAGGCAGCAGUGGGGAAUAUUGCACAAUGGGCGGAAGCCUGAUGCAGCAACGCCGCGUGCGGGAUGACGGCCUUCGGGUUGUAAACCGCUUUCGCCUAUGACGAAGCGUGAGUGACGGUAAUGGGUAAAGAAGCACCGGCUAACUACGUG